Molecule: long non-coding RNA, 2224 nt
Organism: Bubalus bubalis (water buffalo)
Lineage: Eukaryota; Metazoa; Chordata; Mammalia; Artiodactyla; Bovidae
Exons: 3
Source: RefSeq, a predicted model, not a curated record
GUUGCCAUUUCCUUCUGCAGGGGGUCUUCUGAUUCAGAAGUCGAAUCCAAAUCUGCAUUACAGGCAGAUUUUUUUUUAAACCGCUGGAGCCACCAGGUUUUGCAGCCGAGUGGUCUGAAGUCUCACCUUGCUGUGUUCUGCUGCUCUGAAGCGGCGCGCUGCGGAACUCAGGAAAGUCAAACAGGACGGGAGUUGGAGAAGCCGACUGAGAGUGAAGCGGAAGGGGCACUGAGAAGAGGCGGCGUCUGGACCUCGGCCUCAGUGCCACAGAGCGCACCUCUGCCCGAAGCCCCGGCUCUUAGGAGACGCGGGGAGGACCCAGAACUUAAUUCUGUAACACCACGUCAGGCUGAUCAGAAAAUGUCACUGACACUUAAUGGAGAAAAAGAGAACAAAUGCAAUUUUGUGACAUCAAAACAUGAGUAUGUCUAGCAAAAAUGGCAAAUGGAGUUCUUGAAGGGCAUAUGAGAUGUUAGUUCCCUGAACUCAUACCCCCUGCAGUGUAAGUUUGGAGUCUUAACUCCUGGACCAGCAGGGAAGUCUCUUGCACCUCUUUUUGUGACAGUGGAAUUUUGAAAAUUUUCAUUAUCUAAAUAAAAUUAAAUGUGACUUAAAAAAAAAAAAAGAAUCAUCUGAAGUGGGAAGAAUCAUCUGAAGUCAGCUGUGAGCUGACUUGCACCCCUAUGCCAAAGUCCUAUUUCAACCUAACCCCCACUGUGACUAGUUAGGGUUUUCAGGAGUUAAUUAAGGUUAAAUGGGGUCAUAAGGUUGGGACCCUAAUCUGAUCUAACUUAAUGAGAAGAGGAAGAUCUAUCCCCUAACCCCUCUUAUGAACACACAGUGAGAAGGCUGCAAUCCACAAGGUGGAAAGAAAUCAAAUAGGCCAGCAUCUUGGUCUUAGAAGUCUAGGUUCCGGAAAUGUGAGAAAUAAGUAUUUGUUUAAACCACCCCAUUUAUGGUAUUUUGUUAUGGCAGGCCAAUCUAGUACAGGGCCUUCUGAUAACAUUUAUAUAGCACACACAUAUUUCCUAAAUAUAGGCCUAUUCCACAUUCCUUUCCCCUAAACUUCCUGGUACCAAUCCUAUAAUCAUGCUCUUUCCAAGUUUUUGACUUGGAAUCCAGCCAAAUCAUUAGCCAUUUUCAAAAUACUUCUCUUUCCUUGGGGCACAGUAACCCCAGACAGAAGGAAGGAGAAGAUUCACAGUCUAUAUUUGUAAUGUUGUCAAAUGUAUUUCCUCACAGAUACCCAGUCUCUUCUUCCCUUGAAGGGAUUUGUGAACUGAUUGUUGGGUGGCCAAGGCAUCAGUGAGGCUUGCACUGCAGAAGGGAUACAGAUGAAGAUGGAGAAAGAGAAAAAAGUGUAGGGACCAGGGAGAAGAAGGGAAGAUGGGAAUGAAGGGAGGGAGGAGAGAAAAACCUCUAAACAUAUGCUAAAGACCAUGGCUAUGUAUCCUAUGACCCAUAUAGGGAAACAUGACACAUUUCAGGCAAUUUGAGCAUCAAAUAAUUAAAGAUGAUGUUAUGGACUGAAUCAUGGCCUCCCUCCAGUUCAUAUGUUUAAGCCCUAACCCUCCUAUACCUUGUAAUGUGGCAGUAUUUGGAGCUACUGUCUUUAAAGAGGUAAUUAAGGUAAAAUGAUGUCAAUUCAAUAUGACUGGUGUCUUUAUAAGGUUAUUGGGACACAGAAACAAAUGGCAGGAAGACCAUGUGAAGGUACUGCCAUUGACCAGCCAAGGACACAGGCCUUCAAAAGAAACCAACCCUGCUGAUACCUUUAUUUCAGACUUCCAGCCUCAGAAAUGGGAGGAAAUAGAUUUCUGCUGUUUAAGGCACACAAUCUGGUACUUUGUUAAGACAGCCAUAGCAAAUUAACACAGAUGGUAACAUAGCUCACUGAAUAAAAAUAAAUGAGUAUUUAUUGCUAUAAAUAAAUGAAUAAUAAGUGGAGGGAAAGGGAAAGUGCUUCCUUAGAGUAGCAUAAUGAGAGAUUAGGAAAUUACAAAAAUCACCAUUUGAUAAUCAUAGUUAUAAUUGAUCCAAGCAAGACUGUUAAUACAUGCUAAAAGUAGCAGAUAAAAGUUUGAUGAGAUAAAUGAUACUUAGUGUUAGUUGUGUCCGACUCUUUGCGACCCCAUGAACUGCAGCACACCAGGCCUCUCUGUCCAUCACCAACUCCUGGAGUCCUCCCAAACCCAUGUCCAUCGAGUCCAUGAUGCCAUCCAAC